RNAcentral lists this transfer RNA (68 nucleotides) under Utra nitida. Its description in RNAcentral is "tRNA-Trp". It matches the Rfam family "tRNA". Rfam says of the family: Transfer RNA (tRNA) molecules are approximately 80 nucleotides in length. Lineage: Eukaryota; Metazoa; Arthropoda; Insecta; Coleoptera; Cerambycidae. The record is from RNAcentral.
AAGGAUUUAAGUUAAACUAUAAACUGUUGGCCUUCAAAGCUAAAAAUAGGGAAUGUUCCUAAGCCUUA